Molecule: ribosomal RNA, 253 nt
Filed under: uncultured bacterium
Lineage: Bacteria
Description: partial 16S ribosomal RNA
Rfam family: Bacterial small subunit ribosomal RNA
Source: RNAcentral
UACGAAGGGGGCUAGCGUUGCUCGGAAUUACUGGGCGUAAAGGGAGCGUAGGCGGAUAGUUCAGUCAGAGGUGAAAGCCCAGGGCUCAACCUUGGAAUUGCCUUUGAUACUGGCUGUCUUGAGUAUGGGAGAGGUUAGCGGAACUGCGAGUGUAGAGGUGAAAUUCGUAGAUAUUCGCAAGAACACCAGUGGCGAAGGCGGCUCACUGGCCCGGUACUGACGCUGAGGUGCGAAAGCGUGGGGAGCAAACAGG